This 497-nucleotide ribosomal RNA is filed under the name uncultured bacterium. Its description in RNAcentral is "partial 16S ribosomal RNA". It matches the Rfam family "Bacterial small subunit ribosomal RNA", at positions 28 to 507 of the family's 1533-position model. The record is from RNAcentral.
GAUGAACGCUGGCGGCGUGCCUAAUACAUGCAAGUCGAGCGAACAGACGAGGAGCUUGCUCCUCUGACGUUAGCGGCGGACGGGUGAGUAACACGUGGAUAACCUACCUAUAAGACUGGGAUAACUUCGGGAAACCGGAGCUAAUACCGGAUAAUAUAUUGAACCGCAUGGUUCAAUAGUGAAAGACGGUUUUGCUGUCACUUAUAGAUGGAUCCGCGCCGCAUUAGCUAGUUGGUAAGGUAACGGCUUACCAAGGCAACGAUGCGUAGCCGACCUGAGAGGGUGAUCGGCCACACUGGAACUGAGACACGGUCCAGACUCCUACGGGAGGCAGCAGUAGGGAAUAUUCCGCAAUGGGCGCAAGCCUGAAGGAGCAACGCCGCGUGAGUGAUGAAGGUCUUCGGAUCGUAAAACUCUGUUAUUAGGGAAGAACAAAUGUGUAAGUAACUAUGCACGUAUUGACGGUACCUAAUCAGAAAGCCACGGCUAACUACGUG